GGCCGGCGCGCCGCCGUCCCGCAUGGAGCCCCGGCUGCGUGCUGGGGCCGCGCGGGCCGUUCUGGUCAGCUGCUAGAAGCACUCGGCCUGUCUGAAACGCUUGUUUUUCAUGUUUUCCUCAUCUGUUUUCUAUUUCAACCUCUGUCUUCUCUCUGUUUCUAUUGACUCUAUUUAUAUUUAUCUCACUUUAAUUAAUCUCUUGUGAUCAACUGGCAAAGCACGUCAUGGGUGUGUCUCCUUGAAAACUGGUGGCAAUGAACCUUAAGGUGGACUAUUUUGAAGCCGGAAGUGAUACACAGGAGGUGGAUCCUUCACUUAGGAAGGCUUCAGAAAUACUUCAGGGACGAUCUCCACGAAUAAGCAGUACCUGGAAGUGCUGUAUAACCUGUAUUUUCAGGAAACUUCCAACUCCUUCCUCCAUAGAGAAGAGGAGCAGGAAUCCAUAUCGCUACUUUCUCCAGCAUCAGUGAAAAAAGGACACUUGACCACCUUUUCCUCUAGAGCAAACAGUGAAUUUGGGCAGAGGGAGCAGCCAGAAAACUGGGUGGAGGCAGAAGUUAGAUGUGGGCUGAUACAUAAGGUCUGCUGGGGAUCCUCAGCUCCCCUUGGUAUUAGAUGGAUUACCUGGAUUUUUGCUUAAGGAUUCUCACAGCCCAAAUGUGUCAGAGUUCUCUGCCGGGAAUUUCCUGGUUAUAACACAGAGACUGGAAACAAGCAGAGAGAAGCCGCAUCAUGUUAAUGCUUGUAGAGAAGGAUGAAACAAGUUGAUGUGGUUUUCUGCGUCUGCCAGACAUUGGCAUUUUAUCUUCAGCUCCAGCGAGGUUCACUAAUGAGGAGUCAAGGCUAUCCACUGCAUGCCCAAAGAGUAUGUUACUCCCAGAUAAAGAGCCCUUAAAUAGUGCAUUAACAUUUUUAAGCAUUUAUGUGAUUUAGCUAGUUUCUUUGUGUAAGCUGUAAACCAGUAGUCGAUCAUAGACACAUACAGAUGUCCAGGCUCACUGGUGUGUGGUCAGAGAUAAUGAAUAGCACUGGCAGUUCAACGCUGUAAUAAACAUGCAGGGAAACCUGCUAUUAAAGAUAAC
Molecule: long non-coding RNA, 1082 nt
Filed under: Apteryx rowi (Okarito brown kiwi)
Lineage: Eukaryota; Metazoa; Chordata; Aves; Apterygiformes; Apterygidae
Description: lncRNA (ENSARWG00000012870.1)
Source: RNAcentral